This 500-nucleotide ribosomal RNA is filed under the name uncultured bacterium. RNAcentral describes it as "partial 16S ribosomal RNA". It matches the Rfam family "Bacterial small subunit ribosomal RNA", at positions 29 to 506 of the family's 1533-position model. The record is from RNAcentral.
AUUAACGCUGGCGGCGUGCCUCACCCCUGCCAGUCGAGCGGCAGCGAGUUUUACACUGAAUUCUGGAAGCUUCUAGUUGAAAGAGAAGAUUUAUUCAAGAAUUUUGUGUAAAAUGUCGGCGAGCGGCGGACGGCUGAGUAACGCGUGGGAACGUACCCCAAAGUGAGGGAUAACGCAUCGAAAGGUGUGCUAAUACCGCAUAUGGUCUUCGGAUUAAAGCCUUCGGGCGCUUUGGGAACGGCCUGCGUAAGAUUAGAUAGUUGGUGGGGUAAUGGCCUACCAAGUCGACGAUCUUUAACUGGUUUGAGAGGAUGAUCAGUCAGACUGGAACUGAGACACGGUCCAGACUCCUACGGGAGGCAGCAGUGAGGAAUCUUCCACAAUGGGCGAAAGCCUGAUGGAGCAACGCCGCGUGCAGGAUGAAGGCCUUCGGGUUGUAAACUGCUUUUAUAAGUGAGGAUUAUGACAGUAACUUAUGAAUAAGGAUCGGCUAACUACGU